AACUUAUAAAAAAAAUUAAACUAAAAAUUAAUUCAUAUAUUUGUAAAUAUGCAAACUACAAUUCAUUCAUGAUAGCUAAUAUACUUUUGUUACUACCACUUUUUUUUUUUUUUUUUUUGUGUGUGAAAUUCCUUCUUCUUUUUUUCUUUCUUCUUCUUCUUCUUCUUCUUCUUCUUCCCUUUUUUUUUUUUUCAAGGUCUACCUAGACAGUUCACUCUACACAUGGAAUGGAAAGAACGUUAUUUUUAUUUUUAAAAUUUUGAAAACGUGUUUAUCAAAUAGCCCUCAUUCUCUCUCCUUGUGGUUCGUCUCUCAUUAACUCACGAUCGCCUGAGAUGAAGGACUACUCACCGACGACGACAACAACUACCGGCAGGCUGACUUGGCAACCUCUAUUUGGCCAGUGAAAAUGGUUUCUGGGUUAAUUAAUGCCAAUCCUAUUGUGUAUGAGAAAAAGGAAAGUAGUGCUCAAAUCUCUCCAGGUGAUGUGGAAGAGUAUACUGUGGAACACAUUGAUAAUCAAGAAAUCUUUUAUAUCAUUUCUGCUGGUUCUUCCGAUGCUUGUUAUGUCCAUUAUAUUUGGUCAAGCUUUAUCGAGGUCUAAAAUUGGGCAUGUACAAUGAAAAAUUGGAUAUAGCCCAAUUUAUGGUUUAGGUGUUUGAUCAAAUAAUUUGAGCACUGGAUUUAGAGUCCUAAUGAACCAAAUUUUGCAUGUUGAACAUUUUUAGGCAGGAACUAUACAUAUCUCUCCAACAUUUUUUUUUUUUUUUUUUUUCUUUUAUAUUUGUUCUUUGAAGAUAUUCUUAUCAUAAUCAGUAGGUAGGAACAAUAAGUUUUGGAACAAAUCAUACUGUGCUAUUAAGUUUUGGAGAAACUCAUUGUUUUCUUAGCAUAGUCUUAAAUAAUAUUAGAGACAUAAAAGAUCCAGAACAUCCUUAUUCAUUUGAAGAGCUGAAGGUCAAAACAGAAGAUGCAAUUGAGGUAGAUGACAAUAAUAGCUGUGUAAGGGUUACAUUUACUCCAAUAGUGGAACAUUGCAGCAUGGCAACAGUGAUUGGCCUUUGCUUGUGUGUGAAACUUAUAUGCAAUCUCCUUCCUGUUAUAAGGUGGAUAUUAAGGUAGCACCUGGGACUCAUGCAACUAAAGCGGCAGAACCUAGAGGAAGUCUGAACGAUGCAGAAGUCGCCGGAUGAGCAAGAAAAGGAAUUGGUCCUACCAAAAGUUCUCCUAUAGAAGGAGCAGUCAUCCAACCUACAGAGGCUCAGCCGGUACAACACCGGUGCCCUUUCCGGUCACUAUCUCCCUUUUCUUGCAGGAGAAGCUAUCAACCCUGGUCGCACCAGAAUCUUGCAUCAACAAUUUUUGUUUAGUUUUCGUUGUUUCCUCUUUUUACUUGGAUAGCUGCGUGUUAUGAUUUAUUGAAAUUCAAUGUUUGAGUAAAUAGAAGCAUAAUACAGCCAUCCAUAAAUUUGUUUGUAGUUUCUUUUUAAUAGAUUGCUGUGGAAUCUGUCACAUUGAACACUCUCCAAAAUUUCUUUGCAAAAGAAGUGAUAUACUGAUUUGUGUGUG
Cornus florida is the source of this 1569-nucleotide long non-coding RNA. RefSeq lists it as uncharacterized. Lineage: Eukaryota; Viridiplantae; Streptophyta; Magnoliopsida; Cornales; Cornaceae. The transcript is spliced from 6 exons. The record is from RefSeq and is a predicted model, not a curated record.